Molecule: ribosomal RNA, 208 nt
Filed under: uncultured bacterium
Lineage: Bacteria
Description: partial 16S ribosomal RNA
Rfam family: Bacterial small subunit ribosomal RNA
Source: RNAcentral
UCGGAUUGUAGUCUGCAACCCGGCUACAUGAAGCUGGAAUCGCUAGUAAUCGCGGAUCAGAAUGCCGCGGUGAAUACGUUCCCGGGUCUUGUACACACCGCCCGUCACACCAUGGGAGUUGGAAAUGCCCGAAGCCAGUGACCCAACCGUAAGGAGGGAGCUGUCGAAGGUGGAGCCGAUGACUGGGGUGAAGUCGUAACAAGGUAUC